CCGCUGCACGCGUAUCCUCGCUGCUGCCCUGCGCGCCGUCGCCCUGCUUGACGCGAGGACGCCACUGCCUCCGCUCAUCUGUCGUUCGCCACCAAGGGAGCAAGUAUUCCACUCGUGUGGCUAGAGUGUGCUGUGUCAAACACCACAAUGGCUUCUUUGUUUACAGGAAGCUUGCGUAGAUGAGCUCUGACGUCAUGUCCAUGGCGAGUUAGAGUUCUGUUGUGAAAGCCCCACACAGAGAGGCUGGUGCACGCAUUGAUGACCACAACCUUUGGAGGUGACGCAGGUGGUAGCCUCUGUGUCGACGAGCUCCCGCGACACGCUACGGAAGCUUCGAUGCCGAGGUCCACAUCCACAGGUAGGUAUUUUCUGGUGAUGUUUGUGAUUGAGUUAUUCAUAUAUACUUACAUGGUGCAAAGCAGAAACGCUUCUUCAUUUUGGACCAGUCACGUAAGGUGAGCUAAAUGACCUUGACCAUUUUUUAGUUCAGUUCUCAGUUAUUGCGAAAAAUAGCUACAAACGGUGUGAUGAUGCAAAUAGUGUGUAGUUCAAUUAUUACCCUUACUGUAACAACUGAGUCCAUGUAAUGUAUGAUGAAGCCAGUCUUGGCUAGAGUGGAUCGGUAAAUUGAUUUAUGGAAUCAUAUAUUUUAAUACUGUGCAUGGAUCACAACUGAUGACCGUUAAUUGACAGCUCGUAUGUGUAAUUUGUUCUGACCACUUACUUGAAGUUAUAAUUCUAAUAUAUGCUAUAUUAUUACUGAAAAGUGUUAAGUGUGUGAAUUAUUGGCCGCAAAUCGGCAAAAACCAAAAUUAGCUUAUUCUGAACAUACAUCAUACUGUGCUGAUUUCUUGAAAUUAUUUAAUCAUACGCAGAAGCUUGAUGCACCUGCAAACAUAUUGGAAUUUGAAGCAAGGCGAGAGGAUGCCGUGUUCCUCACUGCGCGCGGCCUCGGCGUGCCUGCGUGUGGCAGUAAAUAGACGAGCCGUCGCCGCCAACCAUGCCACCGGCCAAC
Lolium perenne is the source of this 1015-nucleotide long non-coding RNA. RefSeq lists it as uncharacterized. The record is from RefSeq and is a predicted model, not a curated record. Lineage: Eukaryota; Viridiplantae; Streptophyta; Magnoliopsida; Poales; Poaceae.